CCCGACUGGUGAGCAGGUGGAAAGAAUUUUCGGUGGUUUUCAGAAUGGAAUAGAAGCCAGCACUGAGCAAGAGGCUGGCCUCUAAAAGGAAGGAGAAGUACUCUGCCUGAAGGCUUGGCUUCCUGGGAGUUUCCAGACACUGAGUUUAUAGAAGUUGCCCAAUUCUGCUAGAAUCCUUGUCAUUGUUUAAAAUUGAUUUCUGCUGAGGGAAAGGACUUGGCGUCAGAGAAUUGCAGAAAAUCCCCGUACUGAACCUCAGAGAACACUGAAUCCAACAUCCUUCCCCGAGUAAGGACUUCUGAAACAUCUGGCCCAAUGAUCUUCAUGCUUCUGCUUAUGGGGACUGAUGAGUUCAGGCAGGAAACCCAGACAGAGGUUUGAAUCACUGCAUGUCAGACCCACUUUGGGAAAAAAUAAGAACAAUGAAGAUAACCCUAGGAUACCUUCCCAGCCACUUCCAGGACAGGAGUGUGAUGGGGGCAAGUGGGAUGCUGCCUUCUCUGGCCACAGCCAUAAUCUCUUACACGUGCACAGCCCUUUAGGGUCUGGACAGUCCUUCCUCAGCUGGGGUUCAUCUGGUCUUCAUAGUGACACUGUGAGGCAGAGGAGGCAGGGAUCAGUUUUAGAUGGGUCUUAAAGUUAUAAGAAAGCUGCCCAGGGUCACAGAAAAAGGCAAAACCAGUCUUUGCCCUGUAGCCUGCACUGACUACCCACAUCUCUCCCAAAUAUGCCUGGACAAGGGCUUAUGCUGUGGACCAGACUGACACUUAGCAAUUUGGUAUUAGUCAUAUGGUUAUGUAAUAUUUUCAAAAAGUCUUAGCUCUAUUGAAAUCAUAGCGCUUAUAAGCAUAUAAAAACCUUUAGGAAUUUCAAAGUAAGUCCAAUUAAGAGGUUAUAGUGCACACCUAGACUGACCAAUGAUUAUUCUUCAAAUAGACCAAGAACAUCUCUUCGGUGGGGCAGUCUGCAUUAUGAUGUCAUGAGGCUGCUCUGUAGCAUAAAGACCCUUGGCCUCAUUCAUUCACUCAACGAACAUUGGUUGAAUGCCCACCUAUGGCCUACCCUAGGACCCAACUGUGAACAAGACCCAAGCAAGGAGCCCAGCUCUCUGCAGUGUGGCCUGGCUCCAGAGUUUGGACCUUGUCGUAAGGGCAACGAGGAGCCUUUGGAGGGUGAUUUAAACCAGUCAGAUUGUCCCUUUAGUUGUGGGGUGGAGAAGCCAUCAGAAGUGUUAGGCGGGGUGUCAGGAGGCCCUGCCGGUCUCAGCGAGGCGGCGAAGGCCUACACCAGAGCAACAGCCGUGGGGAUGGAGCCUCCAGCUGUUCGGGUGGCAGAAUCAACAAGACCUCGUCGCCGGCUAAGAAAUUUUGCAGCACCCUGUCCAUAUGCUUUGCUUCCAGUACGUCUGUCACACCCACUCCGCUGCAAACUCCUCCAGAAUGUCGUGCAAGCAGGGCUAUCUGAUUCAUCCGUGCAUUACCAGAUCCCAGUACCAUGCUCACUAAACUCAUAGUAGGUGCUCAAUAAAUGUUAGUUGCAUGCCUGUAAACAAAUUACAUUUAAACUUCACCCGAGCAGUCACUCCUAAUAUUCACCAAGCCCCAGGCUCCUCACGAGAGUUAAGUUCAGCUCUGUGCCUUAGGAAUGCCAGGUG
Non-coding RNA from Microcebus murinus (gray mouse lemur), 1654 nucleotides. Lineage: Eukaryota; Metazoa; Chordata; Mammalia; Primates; Cheirogaleidae. The record is from RefSeq and is a predicted model, not a curated record.